GUGUGAUGAUGAAGUUAUUCCUGAAAAAAUAUGUUGAUAUAAAAAACGAGCUUUUUAAAACUGAACACC
Molecule: small nucleolar RNA, 69 nt
Organism: Hydractinia symbiolongicarpus
Lineage: Eukaryota; Metazoa; Cnidaria; Hydrozoa; Anthoathecata; Hydractiniidae
Source: RefSeq, a predicted model, not a curated record